CCCUUAGAUGUUCUGGGCCGCACGCGCGCUACACUGAUGCAUUCAACGAGUCUAAAACCUGGUCUGAUAGGGCUGGGUAAUCUUUUGAAUGUGCAUCGUGAUUGGGAUAGAUGAUUGCAAUUCUUCAUCUUCAACGAGGAAUGCCUAGUAAACGCAAGUCAUCAGCUUGCAUUGAUUACGUCCCUGCCCUUUGUACACACCGCCCGUCGCUCCUACCGAUUGGAUGUUCCGAUGAAUACCAUGGACUGAGAGUAUGAAUGGGUUCGCCUAUUUCUGCUUCUCGGGAAGUGGAGUAAAUCUUAUCAUUUAGAGGAAGGAGAAGUCGUAACA
Molecule: ribosomal RNA, 330 nt
Filed under: uncultured eukaryote
Lineage: Eukaryota
Description: partial 18S ribosomal RNA
Rfam family: Eukaryotic small subunit ribosomal RNA
Source: RNAcentral